GACGUGUUCGCCAUGAUCGGACUGCAGGAGUUCUUCUACGACCAGGUCCCCGACGCGCUGCGCAGCCUCGGGCUCGCCUUCUUCCUCAGCAUCUUCGGGGUGGGCCACUUCUUCAGUAGUUUCCUCAUAUCUGCCAUUGACGGCUACACCAAGAAGAGCGGUGCCAGCUGGUUCUCCAACAACCUCAACCGCGCGCACCUCGACUACUUCUACUGGCUCCUCGCCGGGCUCUGCGCGGCGGAGCUGGCCGCGUUCGUGGUUGUCUCGCGCGUCUAUGUGUACAAGAAGAGGGUCGCUCACCAUGACCAUGACCAUCACGACGGCGGCGCUGUCAUGUAGUAAUCACUUGUAAGGUGUUCAUCCUUUUCGCGAAUGUACAGAUGUAUAGCGUUAUAGUAUAAGAGUUAAAUUCACUCACGGUACUUGUCCUCUCCGUAUAAACUCACUUUGGU
RNAcentral lists this long non-coding RNA (452 nucleotides) under Hordeum vulgare. Its description in RNAcentral is "long non-coding RNA (HVUL_LNC007813)". Lineage: Eukaryota; Viridiplantae; Streptophyta; Magnoliopsida; Poales; Poaceae. The record is from RNAcentral.